AAAAUAUUUGCGAAAGCUCUUUCUAUCAAACUUAGCCAUGAUCUUUCUAGGCUUGUUGGCACCCACCAGAGUGCCUUCGUAUGAGGGCGAUCUAUACAUGACAGCUUCAUGUUGGUUCAGUGCACCGCUCUGAGGUUACAAGCCCUCAAGGACCCGACCCUAAUGCUGAAACUAGACAUCUCUAAAGCAUUCGACACCGUGUAG
Molecule: ribosomal RNA, 204 nt
Filed under: Triticum aestivum (bread wheat)
Lineage: Eukaryota; Viridiplantae; Streptophyta; Magnoliopsida; Poales; Poaceae
Description: partial small subunit ribosomal RNA
Source: RNAcentral